GAUCAUGGCUCAGGAUGAACGCUAGCGACAGGCUUAACACAUGCAAGUCGAGGGGCAGCGGGGAGUAGCAAUACUUCGCCGGCGACCGGCGCACGGGUGAGUAACACGUGUGCAACCAACCCCGUACAGGGAGAUAACCCGCGGAAACGUGGACUAACAUCCCAUAACACUGGAGGAUCGCAUGAUCUUUCAUUUAAAAUUCCGGUGGUACGGGACGGGCACGCGCGGCAUUAGGUAGUUGGCGGGGUAACGGCCC
This 256-nucleotide ribosomal RNA is filed under the name uncultured bacterium. RNAcentral's name for it is "partial 16S ribosomal RNA". It matches the Rfam family "Bacterial small subunit ribosomal RNA", at positions 15 to 266 of the family's 1533-position model. The record is from RNAcentral.